Molecule: long non-coding RNA, 2672 nt
Filed under: Mytilus galloprovincialis (Mediterranean mussel)
Lineage: Eukaryota; Metazoa; Mollusca; Bivalvia; Mytilida; Mytilidae
Source: RNAcentral
AAAACACAAGAUAUGUUUUUAUUCAUUGACCAGAGAUUCACAAUAAAAAAAUAAUAAUCAAAUAAUUCAUAAGGAAUGUUAAAAUAAUCACAGUCAGUAGUAACAUUUUCUCAGUAAAAUAUGUCUUUAUGUAUCCUAAGUGUACAAAGCUAUAUGUACCAUAUGUGGUCAAAGCAAAAUUAAUCUGCAUGUACCCUAUGUAUACAAAGCUGUAUGAACCAUAAUGUGUACAAAGCAGAAUAAAUCGGCAUGUACCCUAUCUGUACAAAACAAAACAAAUCUGCAUGUACCUUAUGCGUACAAAGUAAAGGAUACAUAAAAAGAUACACGACAAUUACAACUACAUGGUUCAAUACAUCUUAUUAACAGCUGUGUAAACUAGAAAGCUUUGUGGAUUGAUCAAUGGUCUUUCAAUUCUAAUAUCCAUUAGCAGAAGCAAACCAUAAAAUUAUCAAUUACCUGAAUAUUGACCUUCAGUGCGAAAAAAGCAUUUAUGAAAAAUCACAGAACAUAAUCAUUGACAGAAAUGUCUUCCCUGUAUUAUCAUAUAUCACUGAAUAAUAUGCUAUUUAUCAGUCCAAAUACACAAUUCAAAAGUAAACAUGUAUAUAAAAAAAAUUAGUACAAUAAGUCAACAAGUCACAAAAAAACUUCAAUCAUGAAGCAUAAACUCAUAAAAUGCUCUUCUAAUAUGUCUAACCUGUUCAUCAGUAUAUAUUAUACACUUAUUAUUAUGUUUAGUUAACAUUGAAGUCAUUACUAUGUGACAAUCAGACUUACAAUCAGAACUGAUUAUUAUGUUUAGUUAACAUUGAAGUCAUUACUAUGUGACAAUCAGACUUACAAUCAGAACUGAUAGUUAACAAUGAAGUCAUUACUAUGUGACAAUCAGACUUACAAUCAGAACUGAUAGACAAAAUAUGAUAACCUUUAAACUUAAAUUAUCUACAAAAAUAAAUAUAAAAAUAUUGCAUAAAUUAAAAAUAAUAAAUCCUGUAAGCUUGUAACCAUAAAACAAUAUUUAAUCAGCACUUUGUACAAUUUUCCUUUGAUCCUUUCAUAUUCUUGCUGAUAUCUUACCCAAGUCUGCAAUAUUAUAAGUACUAUUAUAGACAUAGUACAAUAUUAUAAGUACUAUUAUAGACAUAGUACAAUAUUAUAAGUACUAUUAUAGACAUAGUACAAUUAUUUGUUGUACCUAUGUUUUGGAAUAACAAUACAUAUAUUGGGCAAGUACUGCACAGUUUUGAUCCACAUGAAAAUACAACUGAAUGUAUUUAUAUGGAUGCGACAUGAUUUCUUUUUCCUGAAUAUCUUACUAAAUAUACAAUACAAUUAAAAGUGUAUAUUCCAUAUUGUUCAUAUAUAUAAAAUUAUUAUGUGUGUUGUAAAACACUGAUUUUAAGAAUGUUAAUGAAUUUCUCUUAUCUCAACACAUUUUGCUCGAGUCUCUGUACAUAUAUAAAAAAAGAAAACUAAUAUAUCUCUGAUAUAUAUUUUCAUCCUGUUUUCACUAUAUAUUUUUGAUUACCAGGAUUAAAGAGGUAUUACAUUUUGGUAUACAUAUUCCCAAUAAUUUGUAUUUCUACUAUUUUAUACAACUUUUUGGUCAAUCAAAAUGCAACCAAUCGGUUCAUUCAACCUAUGCCAACAUUUUGAAAUUUAGGUAUAAAAUUGUAUGAGAAAAUGUUGGCAUAGGUUGAAUUAUAUUGAACAGAUUAAGUGCUAUCAAAACAUAAACUGAUUAGGGUCUAAUCAAUUUACAACCAGUUUAAACAUAGCAUUUAAGUAUACACAAAACCAUUUUUGUUACAUUUAAUAGUGAAAAUGUAGGUAAUUGCAUGUGUUGAUUAUCUCCUUUUUAAUAGGAAUAGAUUGAAUAAAACAGUUGAAAAUAAGGUUUUCUCUAAUUUAUUAAAAGGAUUUUCAGCUUGUCAUAUCAAAUAUCUGCCAGUGUCAAUCUCGUAAGUAAAAUACAACAAUGACGAAAACAUUAAAAAUUAAUGAUAAUUUAAAUAGAUUUCUUUAAAUACAUUAACAUUCUCAAAUAUGAUGGUAAGUAAGAGUGCAAUUUCAAGUGAAACUUCUUUUAUAAAUGUUGGUCAUAUUUCAUCAGCUUCUGCUGCUAUGUUUGGAUUUAACUUUUGUUAAAGUUUUGGAUACCUUAUGUUUUAUGAAUAAAUUUGAUAUUGGCAGAAAAAGAGUUAUGUGGUAUGUUAACAAAUUUUGUUUGGGAGAUAUAAGUUGCUGGUGUGAAUACAGACUGGAAUUGCGUGUUAAGGGCAUACGAUACAGUUACAGGGAAGGUAAUGACGUUGCUAACGUAAAAUGUUAUUUUCGCGACGUCAAACUAUGACAUAUAUCGGGAAAAGAUGCAUUUUUCGACUGAUUUUUAUCAUUCAAACUGUUUUAAUUUGAAAACGAGUGCACAUGGACCCCUAUUUUUUAAAACAGCAAUUUGUUUCAUUUUGCAAGGAGAUUAUGUGACCCAAAUUUUAUAAAACUGUAAAUAGCACAUUUUUUUUUAAUUUUGAUAAACAUGCAGCAAAAAAUGACGUUUUUUCCUCUAUUCAUGAACAUUUGAUAAAUAUAGAGUUAUUUUGGAAUAAAAAUUUCAUAAUUUUUAAUGAUACUUAUAAAAUACAGAAAUUACCGAUUAUUUAACAAAAAAC